CGCCUGGGGAGUACGGUCGCAAGAUUAAAACUCAAAGGAAUUGACGGGGACCCGCACAAGCGGUGGAUGAUGUGGAUUAAUUCGAUGCAACGCGAAAAACCUUACCUACCCUUGACAUGUCACUAACGAAGUAGAGAUACAUUAGGUGCCCGUAAGGGAAAGUGAACACAGGUGCUGCAUGGCUGUCGUCAGCUCGUGUCGUGAGAUGUUGGGUUAAGUCCCGCAACGAGCGCAACCCUUGUCUUUAGUUGCUACGCAAGAGCACUCUAAAGAGACUGCCGGUGACAAACCGGAGGAAGGUGGGGAUGACGUCAAGUCCUCAUGGCCCUUAUGGGUAGGGCUUCACACGUCAUACAAUGGUGCAUACAGAGGGUUGCCAACCCGCGAGGGGGAGCUAAUCUCAGAAAAUGCAUCGUAGUCCGGAUCGUAGUCUGCAACUCGACUACGUGAAGCUGGAAUCGCUAGUAAUCGCGGAUCAGAAUGUCGCGGUGAAUACGUUCCCGGGUCUUGUACACACCGCCCGUCAUACCAUGGGAGUGGGUUUUGCCAGAAGCCGUUAGCCUAACCGCAAGGAGGGCGACUGCCACG
This 588-nucleotide ribosomal RNA is filed under the name uncultured beta proteobacterium. Its description in RNAcentral is "bacterial SSU rRNA". It matches the Rfam family "Bacterial small subunit ribosomal RNA", at positions 870 to 1461 of the family's 1533-position model. The record is from RNAcentral. Lineage: Bacteria; Pseudomonadati; Pseudomonadota; Betaproteobacteria.